This 74-nucleotide transfer RNA is filed under the name Candidatus Levybacteria bacterium RIFCSPLOWO2_01_FULL_38_21. RNAcentral's name for it is "tRNA-Glu". It matches the Rfam family "tRNA". From Rfam's summary of the family: Transfer RNA (tRNA) molecules are approximately 80 nucleotides in length. Their secondary structure includes four short double-helical elements and three loops (D, anti-codon, and T loops). Further hydrogen bonds mediate the characteristic L-shaped molecular structure. tRNAs have two regions of fundamental functional importance: the anti-codon, which is responsible for specific mRNA codon recognition, and the 3' end, to which the tRNAs corresponding amino acid is attached (by aminoacyl-tRNA synthetases). tRNAs cope with the degeneracy of the genetic code in two manners: having more than one tRNA (with a specific anti-codon) for a particular amino acid; and 'wobble' base-pairing, i.e. permitting non-standard base-pairing at the 3rd anti-codon position. Lineage: Bacteria; Candidatus Levyibacteriota. The record is from RNAcentral.
GCCGCCAUCGUCUAGUGGUCUAGGACGUCACGUUCUCAACGUGAAGAUCGCGGGUUCGACUCCCGCUGGCGGUA